AUAUAGCAGGUAGUGUUCAUUUUCCGAUUCUUCUCAAUCGAUCCCUUUUUGUUGUAAAUUCUGCAUAGAACCCAAUCAUCUAGCUGUAAACAAAAUACAAACCGUCAAAAAUCAAUCGAAAACACAGUCUAAAUCGUCAAAACAAUGAAUCUGUUCUGUACUCACCCUUAAGCUAUUGUUGUUCUUACGAGCAGAUCGAUCAACAUCAGCAAGACGAUAUUCAUGCAUGAUCCAAUUAGUCUUCUCUCCUUUAGGUGCCUUACCAGAAUAAAACACCAAUGCUUUCUUAAUUCCCACCGCUUUCGGAAUUCCAAUCGGCUUAUCCGCACCAGUAGCCUUCCAAUAUCCACUUCCAGCAGCUCGAUUCGGUCGUGAACCGUUCGGAUACUUCCGAUCUCGAGGUGAAAAGAAGUACCACUCUUUCUCUCCAUACAAUGCCAAAUCUAAAACACGAACACAAAAUUUAAUCAACACAAAUCCCCAAUUUCAUCAUUUCAACUGUUCACUACUAACAAAAACUAAAUUACCAGGAAGAUCCCAUGGAUCAAACUUGUAGAGAUCAAUUUCAGCUACAAUUGGUACAGUAAUUGGCUGGGAAGUGCAUUUUCGGCAUAAAUAAUGCGUCACAAGUUCUUCAUCAGUUGGAUGAAAUCUGAAUCCUGGAGGUAACUGCAAUUCAGCUGCUGUCAUUUUUCUUUUUUCUUUUAAAUAUAAAUUUCUGUUUUUAGUAUAAAUACAGAGUAUCUGAAUGAUUUCUGAAUUCUGAAUAGAAGAGAAGGAAUAGGAAAAGGGUUGAAAGUUGAAACUUAGGUCACAAGGGAGAGAACUAAAUAUAUAGAAAACGGAAGAAGGACACGUGGCGAAGAUAAGCUAAACGGAUCUAGAAAAAACGUGUUAAAAUAAUUAGAAAUAAAAUGUAAAAUUGAAAAUUAUAUUAAAAAAGAGUGGACACGUAUGCAAAAAUUGAGUUUGAGGGGGUAGGUGAGGGGGUGGGGGUGCAUUUGGUCACUGCUUACGCACUGCUUUUUGGACACAAGUGUCGAAAGGGACUAGGUGGCUCGGCGGGUUCAUGGAAGUUUCUGGUUCGGUUUUGGUUCGGGAGGAUCAGGCUCGGGAAGUUGACACGUAUACCAGGUAGAUGCACGCUCGGUAAUUUUGUGUCGUUACUUACGACAAAAAUGUGGGGGGCCACUUUAUUUUUUUAUAUUUUAUAAUUAAGUAAAUAAAAUAAAUUUAAAUUUAAAAAAAUGGAUGUGGAACUUUUAUGGUGUGAAGGUGGUAGUUGGAAUUGAUGAGAAGGAGAUGAACUAAUGUGUCAAUGAUUAGUGAAUUAACGUUGCUAGGAGUGACACAUAUACUAAUGAAUUUAUUAAGAUUGUAAAAAAACAAAAAACAAAAAAAAUAAAAAUGAAUGUAUUUAAAGAAAAAGAAAAACUAAUUUUUGUGAUUCUUUAAAGUAAACUUCAAUUAAAGAUGAAGAAAUUUGAUAUAUUUUAUGUUUUUUUUUAUCUAUCGUGGAAUAUCUAAGUUUGAUAAGGCCUCAUUUAGCAGGAAGCACGUCUACUAAGAAUUUUUUUCUAAUUUCUGAUUGAGAAAAGAAGCGGUCUCAUUCAGAAUAACACAUCUUUGCUAUUGUUAUUUUCCUAUCUAUUUGCGAUUCCUUAAAGUAAAAAGGUGUAAGCAUAUUCUUUAGAUGAUUUUGUAUAAUCAAUUUGCAGGAAUGAGAAAGAAAAAAAAAAGAACAAUGUUUGGUUUGUUUACACCUUUCGUAAUCAGAAUAUAGUUACUCAACAAUUAUUUUAUUGUGAAUAAGUUGCAAUUUUUUCUUCUAAAAGAUAAGAGCAUAUUUGAAUCUCAAAUAUGAUUGGCUAAUUUUGAGUCAAAUCGACUUCUGCGCCGUAGAUUAUCGUUUCUUCUGUUUUUCACUUCAUCCGUUUCAUUUCUUACGUCUGACUUUAUUUUAUUUUUUAAAAAAAAAUUGUAUGUAUCUAGUAAGUUCUUAAUUAUGUCAUUCCUAUUCCCCACCAAAUUCUUUAUUAAUGACACUUUUGCAGGGAUAACAUGACAUCUGAAAUUACAAUAAAUUUAUAGUGAUAUACCAACCUGACUGCGGUGCAGUUGUGAGACUGUUUUACCUUUAAUUAGAGAUUUUAGAUUCGAGCCAUGAGUAUGAAAAAAGUUAUAUUGGAAACGCCACUCUUAAGUAGGCCCUGUAGUGUGCGAUCUAAAUUUUAUUGGGAUUACAAUAUGAACGGGUGGAAAAUCAAAAUAAAUAAAUAAAUUAUAAUGAUACUCUUUCUAGAAGAUGGUUAAGACUUAUGAGUAUUAUAUUGAGAUUGAGAUUAGGUACUAUUUAGGUGAAAUGUUUAUGUUGUUAAUGGUUAUAUUAUAUUUGUUAAACAGAUAUAGAAAUAUAUACGGGUGUACAAAGUGUUUAAUAGACAAAGUGUAUCAAAUCGAAAAAAACCGACUAGUAAAUUCAUUUGAUAUUAAAAAAAUUAAUCAUUAUUAAUUUGAUUUGAUAUUUGACUUACAUAUAUUUAAUAGGAUUGAUAUGGUUUUGAUUUAACUUUUAAAAAAAGUUAAAUAUCAAAUUAAAUCAAUUAUGUUUAAUUUUUUAAUAUCAAAUCAAUUCACUAGUUGAUCUUUUCGAUUUGGUACACUUACAUUAUAUAUAUUUCUUUUAACUUUGUCACAAUUACUGUUUCUAAACAUUUUAACAUCAUGUUUGAGAUUUCAAUUUUACUUAAAUGAAAUUUAAACCAAAACUAAAAAAAAACUUCACUUAUCCAUAUAUUACUCUUAUUUAGAAGUGAGAGUUGGAAAGGACCAACACUGCAUUAAUACUCUUGUACAACAUGCAUACAAUUUUGUACAUUAACUUUUGACUGCAUUAAUUAGUUGUACAACGUGCAAAAAGAAUUGUACAUUAAUAAAAGGACUAACACCAAGGACUAACAUUGCAGUUAUUAUUAUUACUCAUUACUCCUUAUUAGAAUUAUUAUUAUUACUCAUUUGGCUCCUUAUUAGAGUUGACACUUUAAAGCACGAACACGGCACUACCAUGUUGUACACAAAGCAUUUCAAAUUGUACUAUAAAAUUAAUUGUGCCUCAUUAAUUGUACACGUUCCUUUCUACAUAUACAACAACCCACAUGAAGAAUUAAUUUUCUGACAAUUUUGGUUAUAUUUUCUUUAAAAUAUUAUUGCCUCGAUUUUUAUUUUUAUUUUUAACAUUUAUUUUCUAUUUUAAAAGAUUUGGAAAUUUUUAUGUUAAAAAUUUAAGUAAUAGAAAAAAGAUUUAUUUAACUUUUAUCAUCAUCAAUACUACUAAUUUAUUUGACGUUUUUUCUUAAUCUUCAUCUCAUCAUUAAUGUUAUUUAUAUAAUUUUCUUAAAUCACUUAUUUUUUCUUUUUUAACUCUUUUAUAUUUUAUUUUACUUCUUCUUAUUUAGAAUGGGAGUUUGGAGGAUCAACAUUGCACUAAAGAGUUGGAUUAAAAGCUAUAGAAAUUGUACAUUGAGGCCCACC
This 3531-nucleotide long non-coding RNA is filed under the name Solanum tuberosum (potato). Its description in RNAcentral is "long non-coding RNA (STUB_LNC006618)". Lineage: Eukaryota; Viridiplantae; Streptophyta; Magnoliopsida; Solanales; Solanaceae. The record is from RNAcentral.